Armigeres subalbatus is the source of this 524-nucleotide long non-coding RNA. RefSeq lists it as uncharacterized. The record is from RefSeq and is a predicted model, not a curated record. NCBI's taxonomy places the organism in Eukaryota, Metazoa, Arthropoda, Insecta, Diptera, Culicidae. The transcript is spliced from 3 exons.
UCGCUGAUACCCUUUAAUGAGUGAAAAAGAAAAUAUACUUCCACACGCGCAGAUCCCCGUCGUGAAUGGUAAGGCUGAUUCAGGAGCUGGAGGAGCCUCAUGAAAAUGAACAGAAUACCAUCAGAAGCCUCGGACUGCGGCGAAUAAUUGAUGCAGUUCAUCAAGAAGGGAUGCGAGGGUAUGUUGCUACACUUCAGCCAUUUGGACUCAUCCGACAUCACAGAGAAGUCGGACUUUGCGAAAGCCCCAAAACAUUCCAGCGAGGAUAUCGUAUUUACGAAGAAUGUACUCGAUAAAUGUUCCUGUUCCUGUUCCUGACGAUCGGGAACACACAGUCAGAGGUUGGCAUAAAUUUAGAAAGAAGUCGAUUCCAGGAACGGUUUCAGAAGCAGCUGUUGUGUCUAUUGUGCUUUGUCCACUUUUUUCCCGUCAUCCGUUCGGCGAGUUGCUUAAUACCAUGGGAUGUGAUCUGGUAAAGCAGAGAGGCAAGCAAAACACAAGUUGCAGUUAUUUCCGUUCAUAUA